UAGUCUCGCACAGAUGCAUAUCAAUAAGCGGAGGAAAAGAAACUAACAAGGAUUCCCUUAGUAACGGCGAGUGAAGCGGGAAGAGCUCAAAUUUGAAAUCUUCAAGGUUUUACCUUGACGAAUUGUAGUUUAAAGAAGUGUUUUCUGUUGAAGUUUUGGUAAAAGUUCUUUGGAAUAGGACAUCAUAGAGGGUGAGAAUCCCGUAUUUGACCAUUAUUUUCAGCUGUGUGAUACACUUUCAAAGAGUCGGAUUGUUUGGGAAUGCAGUCCAAAAUGGGUGGUAAAUUUCAUCUAAAGCUAAAUAUUGGCGAGAGACCGAUAGCGAACAAGUACCGUGAGGGAAAGAUGAAAAGAACUUUGAAAAGAGAGUUAAACAGUACGUGAAAUUGUCAAAAGGGAAGCGUUUGACACCAGUGUUGUUUUCUCGAAAAUCAAUUAAAAAGAGUUAGAUUUUGUUGUGUAUUGACCUUAACAGCUUAGCAUUUCAAUUUUCUUGCUUUUUUUAAUGCACUUUUCGUUUAACAAGUCAACAUCAGUUUCUUUUGUUGUAAAAAGGUCAUUGGAAGGUGGCUUUCUUUUCGGAGAAAGGUGUUUAUAGCCUUUGACUCCUGCAAUCGGAGAGACUGAGGUCUGCAGCGUAGAUCCUUCGGGGUUAGAUACAUUUGUGCUAAGUUAUAGCUUUUUAUAGACAACUUGUUGACUAUGAUUAGUCUUGUAGCUUACUCGCUUAUGCUAUUUUACCUACGCUUAGGAUGUUGAGCGCAUGUCUCUCUCU
This 775-nucleotide ribosomal RNA is filed under the name uncultured Neocallimastigales. Its description in RNAcentral is "partial large subunit ribosomal RNA". It matches the Rfam family "Eukaryotic large subunit ribosomal RNA", at positions 24 to 616 of the family's 3401-position model. The record is from RNAcentral. Lineage: Eukaryota; Fungi; Neocallimastigomycota; Neocallimastigomycetes; Neocallimastigales.